GACGAACGCUGGCGGCGUGCUUAACACAUGCAAGUCGAACGGCAACGCCCUGCUUUUUUGGUGUGCUCGAGUGGCGAACGGGUGAGUAACACGUGUGUAACCUGCCCUUGACUUUGGGAUAACUUCAGGAAACUGGGGCUACUACCAUAUAGGAGCUCCUGCUGCAUGGUGGGGGUUGGAUAGUUUAGGCGGUUGGGGAUGGACUCGCGGCUUAUCAGCUUGUUGGUUGGGUAGUGGCUUACCAAGGCUUUGACGGGUCGCCGGCAUGAGAGGGUGGCCGGAGUCAAGGGGACUGAGAUACGGCCCAGACGCGUACGGGAGGCAGUAGUGGGGAAUAUGGCACAAUGGGCGGAAGCCUGAUGCAGAAACGCCGCGUGCGGGAUGACGGCCUGCGGGUUGUAAACCGCUUUCGCCUGUGACGAAGCGUGAGUGACGGUAAUGGGUAAAGAAGCACCGGCUAACUACGUG
RNAcentral lists this ribosomal RNA (468 nucleotides) under uncultured bacterium. RNAcentral's name for it is "partial 16S ribosomal RNA". It matches the Rfam family "Bacterial small subunit ribosomal RNA", at positions 28 to 507 of the family's 1533-position model. The record is from RNAcentral.